RNAcentral lists this ribosomal RNA (420 nucleotides) under Triticum aestivum (bread wheat). RNAcentral describes it as "partial small subunit ribosomal RNA". The record is from RNAcentral. Lineage: Eukaryota; Viridiplantae; Streptophyta; Magnoliopsida; Poales; Poaceae.
AUGUAUUGGAACUAUGAUUCAUCUGAUGAGGACUACAGCUAUAAUGAAGAUUCAGAUGGUCAUAUAAGAAAGAUGAAGAGUACAUUCCCAAGAUACAACCCUGAAAGUGAAGUACCACAUUUUGCUUUGACCAUGGUUUUUAGAAGCAAGAAUCAACUGUGCAAAGCUUUGAGAAGAUAUGGACUAGUAACAAAGAGGAGCAUCAAGUUCAUGAAAUCUGAGUGUGACAGAGUAAGGGCAAAGUGUGGAUGGCCUGGCUACCCAUGGCUGAUAUAUGCAGCCAAGAGAUCAAGGACUUCAAGAUUCCAAGUCAUAACAUAUAAUGAUGAUCACCAAUGUGCACAGAACAGAUGCAACAAGUUGGUUACUUCAAAGGUGAUUGCACAGAGGUAUGAGCACUUCAUAUUGGCAAAUCCUAUG